This 425-nucleotide ribosomal RNA is filed under the name uncultured bacterium. RNAcentral describes it as "partial 16S ribosomal RNA". It matches the Rfam family "Bacterial small subunit ribosomal RNA", at positions 354 to 796 of the family's 1533-position model. The record is from RNAcentral.
GUUAGGAAUAUUGGACAAUGGGCGAAAGCCUGAUCCAGCCAUGCCGCGUGAACGAUGAAGGCCUUCGGGUUGUAAAGUUCUUUAGCCGAUGAUUAUAAUGACUGUAGUCGGAAAAUAAGCCCCGGCUAACUUCGUGCCAGCAGCCGCGGUAAUACGAAGGGGGCGAGCGUUAUUCGGAAUCACUGGGCGUAAAUCGUGCGUAGGCGGUUUUGUAAGUUAGGAGUGAAAGCCCAGGGCUCAACCUUGGAAUUGCUCUUAAAACUGCAAGGCUCGAAUCUCGGAGAGGAUAGCGGAAUUUCCAGUGUAGCAGUGAAAUGCGUAGAUAUUGGAAGGAACACCAGUGGCGUAAGCGGCUAUCUGGACGAGUAUUGACGCUGAGGCACGAAAGCGUGGGGAUCAAACAGGAUUAGAAACCCGUGUAGUCC